RNAcentral lists this ribosomal RNA (254 nucleotides) under uncultured bacterium. RNAcentral's name for it is "partial 16S ribosomal RNA". It matches the Rfam family "Bacterial small subunit ribosomal RNA", at positions 524 to 776 of the family's 1533-position model. The record is from RNAcentral.
UACCGAGGGUGCAAGCGUUGUUCGGAAUUAUUGGGCGUAAAGGGCGCGUAGGCGGUCGUGACAAGUCACUUGUGAAAUCUCCGGGCUUAACUCGGAACGGUCAAGUGAUACUGUCGGACUAGAGUACAGAAGGGGCAACUGGAAUUCUCGGUGUAGCGGUGAAAUGCGUAGAUAUCGAGAGGAACACCUGCGGCGAAGGCGGGUUGCUGGGCUGAUACUGACGCUGAGGCGCGAAAGCUAGGGGAGCAAACGGG